RNAcentral lists this ribosomal RNA (437 nucleotides) under uncultured bacterium. RNAcentral describes it as "bacterial SSU rRNA". It matches the Rfam family "Bacterial small subunit ribosomal RNA", at positions 340 to 770 of the family's 1533-position model. The record is from RNAcentral.
UACGGAAGGCAGCAGUGGGGAAUAUUGCACAAUGGGCGCAAGCCUGAUGCAGCCAUGCCGCGUGUAUGAAAAGGCCUUCGGGUUGUAAAGUACUUUCAGUCGUGAGGAAGGUGUUAAGGUUAAUAACCUUAGCAAUUGACGUUAGCGACAGAAGAAGCACCGGCUAACUCCGUGCCAGCAGCCGCGGUAAUACGGAGGGUGCGAGCGUUAAUCGGAAUUACUGGGCGUAAAGGGCACGCAGGCGGUUAAUUAAGUUGGAUGUGAAAUCCCCGGGCUUAACCUGGGAAUGGCAUUCAAGACUGGUUAGCUAGAGUCUUGUAGAGGGGGUAGAAUUCCAUGUGUAGCGGUGAAAUGCGUAGAGAUGUGGAGGAAGUACCGGUGGCGAAGGCGGCCCCGUGGACAAAGACUGACGCUCAUGUGCGAAAGCGUGGGGAGCA